AGAGUUUGAUCCUGGCUCAGAACGAACGCUGGCGGCAGGCCUAACACAUGCAAGUCGAGCGAACUGACGGACUUCGGUCCUGAGGUUAGCGGCGGACGGGUGAGUAACGCGUGGGAACGUGCCCUUAGGUACGGAACAACAGUUGGAAACGACUGCUAAUACCGUAUGAUCCUCCUCUUUAGAGAUAUUGGGGAGGCAAAGAUUUAUCGCCUAGGGAUCGGCCCGCGUUGGAUUAGGUAGUUGGUGGGGUAACGGCCUACCAAGCCUACGAUCCAUGGCUGGUUUGAGAGGAUGAUCAGCCACACUGGGACUGAGACACGGCCCAGACUCCUACGGGAGGCAGCAGUGGGGAAUCUUGGACAAUGGGGGCAACCCUGAUCCAGCCAUGCCGCGUGAGCGAUGAAGGCCUUAGGGUUGUAAAGCUCUUUCAGCUGGGAAGAUAAUGACGGUACCAGCAGAAGAAGCCCCGGCUAACUCCGUGCCAGCAGCCGCGGUAAUACGGAGGGGGCUAGCGUUGUUCGGAAUUACUGGGCGUAAAGCGCGCGUAGGCGGAUUGUUAAGUCGGGGGUGAAAUCCCGGGGCUCAACCCCGGAACUGCCUCCGAUACUGACAGUCUUGAGGUCGAGAGAGGUGAGUGGAAUUCCGAGUGUAGAGGUGAAAUUCGUAGAUAUUCGGAGGAACACCAGUGGCGAAGGCGGCUCACUGGCUCGAUACUGACGCUGAGGUGCGAAAGCGUGGGAGCAAACGGAUAGAUACCCUGGUAGUCACGCCGCAACUAUGAGGCUAGCCGUCACGGCAUGCUCUUGCGACGCACGAAGCAUUAUCUCUCCCCGGAGAGUACGGCCGAUGCAAACACGAGCAAUUGACGGGGUGCCUCAGCU
Molecule: ribosomal RNA, 881 nt
Filed under: uncultured bacterium
Lineage: Bacteria
Description: bacterial SSU rRNA
Rfam family: Bacterial small subunit ribosomal RNA
Source: RNAcentral